This 301-nucleotide ribosomal RNA is filed under the name uncultured bacterium. Its description in RNAcentral is "partial 16S ribosomal RNA". It matches the Rfam family "Bacterial small subunit ribosomal RNA", at positions 509 to 809 of the family's 1533-position model. The record is from RNAcentral.
CAGUCGCCGCGGUAAUACGUAGGUGGCAAGCGUUGUCCGGAAUUAUUGGGCGUAAAGGGCUCGCAGGCGGUUUCUUAAGUCUGAUGUGAAAGCCCCCGGCUCAACCGGGGAGGGUCAUUGGAAACUGGGAAACUUGAGUGCAGAAGAGGAGAGUGGAAUUCCACGUGUAGCGGUGAAAUGCGUAGAGAUGUGGAGGAACACCAGCGGCGAAGGCGACUCUCUGGUCUGUAACUGACGCUGAGGAGCGAAAGCGUGGGGAGCGAACAGGAUUAGAUACCCCAGUAGUCCCUGUCUCUUAUAA